AUUUAACCGGAAAACCAUUUUCUUUGCUAAUUUCGCAAUACAACAGACCCUUGUCUUGAUUCUCUGACUGUUCUAUCUGUUUCUUUCUCGGUGAUUUCGGCACGGGCACUUCGAUCUCGACAAAACCAUCAAUUCUUACCUUGCAUAACUUAAACCGAAACUGGACGAAGCAAUGGAUACAUGACUAAAUUUAUCCUGAAGGGAGGAAUAUUCUUCAAGUGGAACGAACAUAGAAUUUGACUGAUUUCCUUGAAUAUCUUUACAGAAAAUAAAUGAGAGAUGUUAAAUUCGUACGAUUUUUAUUUAUUUUACCUGCAUUGGUUUUAUAACAUCAAUUGCUUGACCAUCACUUUUGCUGAGGUCAUUUGAGCUUGUAUCUCCAUAGAGUCUCGGACAAGUCCACUCACAAAAUCUACAUCGUCGGGUUUCUAGCAAUUCAAGGUUUCAUCGAUCAUGGCUAACCAAGGCCACAAUGAGUCGGUGCCGAUGAAGCCAAGCACUGCUGUUGAUAAUGACGGCAACGCGCACGGCAGUUCUGAUACUGACGAGGAGAAGAAGGACAGGAGCGAUGGUGAUUAUGCUGCCUCUGAAGGCGGCGAAGAUUAUGCUGCUUCUGAGGGCACGGAGGAAGAAGAAAGGGAAAUGCAGGAAUAUCGGAGAAUUCUGGAGGAGUCUGAUGGUUUUGAUAUCGGAAAAGCUCCCACAAAGAAUUAUAUUGGUGGUAGAGCCGAGCUUGUUGUGAAAGAUUUGGAAGAUGCUCGUACCACGGACUGCAUUGAGGCUGUCAAUGUAGCAAUUGAGCUAGAGAACGAGGUGGAGGGUGCAAAUUUGGAAUUCGUGGAGGUAAUCAAGGCAAAUUGGACAGGAUUUACUUAUUAUUGGGUAACCUUUUUAGCUCGAAACAAGACUACCGGAGAGGUCAACACUUAUCAAUCAAAGAUCUAUAACAAUUUGGCGGAUGGCGAGAUUGAAAUCGAUUUAUUCAGGCUCAAACCAAGUGGAGAUAGUACAGCUAUCCAAGCUUAAUUGAAAAUCAUCAAGAUGGCAUAGGAUGCUUACAAAUUGUGGAGAUCUUCGAGAGAUUCCUACGAAUUUAUUCCGUUCAAUAUGGUGGUCGAUAUUAUUUUCUGAAGGGUAAUGAAUAAAUAUUUCAUCAACUAAUCGGGAAGUAUAACUGCUAACAAAUGCUGUUCCAGUUGCAUAGGAGGAGUAGCAAACCAUUUAGGAUUAUAGAUUAACUAAGCAUUUGUUCUUACCGAAAUCUGCAGAUUGGUUUUGAAUUCUCCCAAUAACAUUGAAAUUUAAAGAGACAAGAUUUUGUCAAAUUUUGCAGACAUAUAGAUCAGGUUGUGAUUGACAUGUUGUCAAAUGUUAGAGGUAUAAAGAGCAGGUUGUAAUUGACCUCAAUGUGCAUGAAUAUGCUAUUUUUAGGGAAAAUAUACAGAUAUGUCCCUAAUUUUACCUCAGAGAUUUGUUGUUUACACUAAUGCUAGUCACAACAGCAAAAUUGAUCACUAUCUAUACAUCUUCAGCAAUUGUCAUGCAAGGUGCCUAUGUUUCUAUCAUAUUCUUCUGCUCCGUAGCAACAUCAUCUGAUUUAACCGGAAAACCAUUUUCUUUGCUAAGUUCACAAUACAGUACACCCUUACCUUGAUCCUCGGACUGCUCUAUCUGUUUCUGUCUUAGUGAUUUCUGCACGGGUACUUCGAUCCCGACAGAACCAUCAACUCCUACCUUGCAUAACAAAAAACAAAACUCGAUUAAGUAAUGAAUAGUUGAUUGAAUAUAUCCUGAAGGGAGGAAUUUUCUUCAAGUGGAACGAACAUAGAAUCUGACGAUUCCCACUUUUCGGAACGAAAAUGAGAAAUAUCAAAUUCUUACGAUAUCUAUGUACUUUACCUGCAUUGGUUUCAUAACAUCAACUGCUUGACCAUCAGUUUUGCUAAGGUCACCUUGAGCUUGUAUCUCCAUAGAGUCUUGAACGAGUCGACUCGCAAAAUCUACAUCAUCGGACAUGACACCAAGUCCUUUCAAAAGCUUAGAGCCAAGUUGCAAACCUGUCUGCAUGAACUAUCCAGGCGUAACUGAAAUCAUCAAGAUCGCAUAGGUUGCUUAUGGAUUGUGGAUAUCUCCGAGAAAUUUGUAUGCCAUCCCGUCCCUCUGUCAUUGUCCGUAGCAACGUCAUCUGUCAUCUGAUUUAAUCGGAAAACCAUUCUUUCCUAAGUUCAUAAUACAACACACCCUUGCCUUGAUC
Molecule: RNA transcript, 2254 nt
Organism: Mercurialis annua (annual mercury)
Lineage: Eukaryota; Viridiplantae; Streptophyta; Magnoliopsida; Malpighiales; Euphorbiaceae
Exons: 6
Source: RefSeq, a predicted model, not a curated record